UUUUUUUUUUUUUUUUUUUUGUCUUUUUAGGGCCACGCCCACAGCAUGUGGAGGUUCCCAGGCUAGGGGUUGAAUCGCAGCUGUAGCCACGGCCCUAUGCCACAGCCACAGCAACACCACAUCCAAGCCGCGUCUGCGACCUACACCAUAGCUCAGGGCAACGCCAGAUCCUUAACCCACUGAGGGAGGCUAUGGAUCGAACCUGUGUCCUCAUGGAUGCUAGUCAGAUUGGUUUCCGCUGAGCCACAGUGGGAACUCCCCAACCACUCCUUCUGAGACACCAAGUCCACUGAGGCCUUGUGCUCUUUUUUUCCCCGGCACUGGGAGACCAUCACCCACCCAUUCCCUCUUAAAUGAGCCCUGGCACUCACAGAGGAUGUGCCAGCCCACCCCUGCCUCGGCCCAACCACCCUCACCCCAACGUGCCAAAGCAGUUGCUACAGGGGCACGGCCCAAGCCUCCAGAAGCCUGGCCAAGACUCCCAGGUGAGGCCCACUGAGUUGACCUGGACCCUGGCUCUCUGUAGGGACUCUUGGGGAGGAAGGGGGUCCCCACGGGGUCUGGGCAAGCCAGCCGCCACCUGCCUGCACCAGUGACAGUCACUGGCCUCCUUACUGCUGGAGGUGAGAGAUGUAGCAGCGUGGGGGUGCAGGGCAGAGCUGCAGAAGGGGUCCCUCCCCGGGGCGGUACUUCCAACCUCUGGGGCACCACCCUCCUCUGCCCCAUCACCGAGGCGCACACCCGCUCUGCCCGGGCCCCUCUUGCCACCUGCCCGUUUUCAUGAGGCUUGGGACCUGGAGACCCCACCCCUGACGCCAGAACCAAUGAUUCCCUGCAGCCCCAGAAUCCCCUCCUACCCCUCAACUGGGAGAGCUGAGAGGAGCAGCCAAGCCUCCCCCAGACGGGGGGCUGGGUCUUCUCUGAGACCUGGGACACCCCACCCAGUGACUUGGGGGAGUGCCGGGAUCCCCCCUGCCCCCCAGAAGGAGGGUUCCUGAGGGUCCCGCCGGGAUUGGUUAGCCAGAGACACUGUGGGCCUGCAGGGGCCCUGGGGAGGCAGAGGUCGGGCCCCAGCCCCGGGCCCGGCAGGUCGUCCCUGGGUGUGGCCCCUCCUGGGGGCACGGAGGGCAGGCUGACUUGUGUUCCAGGGUGCAUGCUCUCUUGGGGUGUGGAGGACCAAAGUGGGGUGAUGGCGUGCUGGCUGCCGUGUGUGGCCCUGCGCGGGAGCCAGCCUACUGACAGCCAGCGGGGCAGAGCAGGCUCACCCUGGGGCCGCCCCGGGCGGGGAACCACCCGGACCUGAGACCCACAGCCCUCUGGACCCUGAGCUCCCCCGGGUGCUCCAUCCCAUGUCCAGGGCCAGGAGCCCUGAGCACAGCAGGCAAGGAGUGGGGCCAGCUCCUCGGAGCGGGGGGUGGGUUGGGGUGGAGGUAAGGCUAGGGGUACCCUCCCUGGACCUGGCUCACAUGCCCAGUUCCCCACUGUGGCCCUGGGCCAGCCCUCCACCCCAGGCUGCCCUUUCCUGAAAGAGAAGGGGGUGGCGACCCAGGGUGGGGGUGCAGCCAGCCCCGGCGAGGUCCGACCCCGGUCCACCGUGCCCCUGCCAGUGCCCCACUGGCCGCAUCCUCCUCUCCACCUCCUGGACCCCAACGCCUCCGGUCGUUGCAAACCACAGCUGCAGGUCCCGCCCCCCCCCCCCCAGCUGCAGCUCCUGGGGUCUCUCCAGCCUCCUGGGAGGAGCAGGUGGACGUGGAGCCUCACCCCACCUCCGAUCUCCACCUCCCACCCAGACGGCGGGUGGAGCCAGGCUCUGCAGGGCGGCUCUCCCUGAGAGUGAGCUGGGAGACCUGCAGAGACGUCUGAGGAUCUCAGCCGCCCCUGCGGAGUGGGGGUGCAGGCCUCUCGCUCCUGCCCAGGGUCAGAUCUUGGCACCAAGGAAACUUCUGGGGCCUAAUGGAGCCGUGGAGGCGUCCCAUCCUUUUAAUUUUUUUCUUUUCUUUUCUUUUUAGGGCCACACCUGUGACAUAUGGAGGCUCCCAGGCUAGGGGUCGAAAUGGAAGUACAGUUGCCAGCCUACACCACAGCCAUAGCAACUCCAGAUCUGAGCUGCAUCUGUGACCUACACCAUAGCUCAUGGCCACGCUGGAUCCUUGACCCACUGAGGGAGGCCAGGAAUCGAACCUGCGUCCUCAUGGAUACUAGUUGGGUUCUUAACUCACUGGGCCAUGAUGAGAUCUCCAAGGGAUCCCCAUCCUUGAGCCUUCCACACUUCCCACUGGACUCCAGGCCCCAGUCGGCCACUUGUCCUGCCCCAGGCCUGCCUGUGCUAGCCAGCACUGGCUGCCACCACCCUGGGGACAAGGUCGGGGCCAGCACAGGCCAGAUUGUUGAAGAGGUGAGUCUUGGGAUGGAUAUGGGGCUCCCUCUGCCCUGGAGUCCUGGCUCUUGAGCCCGCCCUCCUUAGGGACCUGGAGGCAGGACUGUCACAGCAGGGCCUCGCUCUCACACUACACCUGCAGGAGGUGCAGCAGCAGAAGCUUCCCUGAGGCCUAGAUCUGGGUGGGGAGGCCGCCUUUCCAGCCAGAGGGCAGUGGUGCCCAGGCCUCUCUCCCAGCAAGCCCCCCCCCGCCCCCCUGCGGCCCCUGGGCUUUUCCUUGGAAUCGGCUCUGGCUUCCAGUAAAAUAAACACAUUAACCACUUGGCUGGCCCAGGCUGUAGGCAGAGGCAGAGCCAGCUGCAGAGGCCAGCGCCCGCCCAGCUCAGCCUGCUGCGCCUGCACUCCCCACCCGGGGCUGGUGCUGGCACGGCUCGGGGUGAGCAUGUGGGUGGGAUUGGGGUGCUGUGGGGAGGAGAGUUUGGGGGGACGGGGCAGGCUCUGGCCUGGGCCUGGUGGGUGACCACCUGGAGGCCCAGGCUGGCUGCCACCACUCCGGCCAAGGUCAGUCACGAGGGGGUCACCCCAGCUCCCUCCUCCUUAUCCCACAGCCGCCCCCCUCGGGGGGCAAGGAACAGCAGCCUGGCUGGGGUGGGGGGAGGCCCGGCGUCUCUCCAGAGGGCUGGGUGUCCUCGCACCGUGUGGCAGCCGCCCCCAGAGGGAUGAUUCAAAGCAGCCUCGGAGGCUCUGCCGACUGGUCCCGGAAAGCCAGCGCCGUCACCCCGGCUGCCUCCUGUGGGCACAGUCCUCCAUCCAGGCCCCACUCGAAAGGAAAACUGGCUCCACUUUGGGAAUGCCCCGGAGGACACAGACCCUGGACCCUGAGAGGAAGGGGAGGGGUGGCAGGUGCCAGACUAGGAUUGCUGUCUGGGCCACGACCCCCGGUCCCCUGGCAAGGGCACCGCUGGUCCUUCCUUCCACCCCAGCCCAGAAGUCUCCAGGCAGUGCCCCUUCCAGGCGACGCCUGCAGUCCUGCUGCCUGCCGACCCCGAAGCGGGAAGCAGCGCCGGAGGGCGAAGCAAAGGCCACGUGCUUGCUUUUAGAAAAGUACCCGCGUGGCCUGGGAGCGACAGAGGCCCACGCCCCCGGGGGUCAGUUGAGGUUAUGUUCACAUAACACGCACUUAGUAUGUAAAGUGUGCAACUCAGUGGCGUCCGUGCACUCCCAGUAUUGUGCAAACACCAGCCCUCGCUCGUCUCAGAACUUCUUCACCACCCCGUAAAGACCCUCCCCGGAUCCGAGACGUCGUCGCGCCCCGUUUCUCGCUCCCGAAUCCUCCGGGAAUGGCUGACCCGCGCCGCCCCCGUGGACCCGCCUCGUCCGGGUCCGCCACGUGAAAAGCACCCGGGGAGGGGGGCCGGCGGCCUUUGUGUCUGGCUGCUUUCACGCUGCAGUGUCCUCAGGUCCACGCACGUUGCCUCUGCCCCUUCACUCCCUUUAGGGGUGAACGCCAGCCCACAGUUGGAGGUCCAGUUCUCCGUGGACAUUGGGGUCAUUUCCCCCUUUUGGAGAUUGUCAGUAACGUGUCUAUGAACAGGAAAGGUUUUUAGU
This 3985-nucleotide long non-coding RNA is filed under the name Sus scrofa (pig). Its description in RNAcentral is "lncRNA (ENSSSCG00000044226.2)". Lineage: Eukaryota; Metazoa; Chordata; Mammalia; Artiodactyla; Suidae. The record is from RNAcentral.